CAGUUCUGCAGGUACAAGACUAUCUCCUUUGUAGCAGAGUGAACUUGAGUCACAACCCGAAGUCAUCCUGGUGAAGCGGCUUCAUUUGUCUGGGGUAAUACCCGAGCACUGAACCAAAUCCUAGUACAUUCUUUGUGAUGUGGAGAGGCUGCUGCCCUGGGAUUGCCUGGGCACCAUCUUUCCUGGCACCCACCCUCUAUACCAGCCUUUCUUCUCCUCCUCAGUCACCAGGAAACUGACUUCUUUUGCAAAGCAGCAGUGAUGAAAACUUUCCAAGUUUCAGCGGGUAGAAGAUAUCCAGCUUUGACCCUCAAAGUAAACAGAGCCUCAGAAAUUCCAUGGAGUAGGCAGGGACCAGGAGCAGAGCUCUUCAAACUUUUUGAAUUCACAACACUCUUACUUUAAGUUUUCU
RNAcentral lists this long non-coding RNA (412 nucleotides) under Homo sapiens (human). Its description in RNAcentral is "HSALNT0120492". Lineage: Eukaryota; Metazoa; Chordata; Mammalia; Primates; Hominidae. The record is from RNAcentral.